CCCAUAAGCCGUAUGACGGUUUAUGCCUGGUUCGUAAGGUAAGAUAAAUGUCAAGUUUCCGCAGAUAAAUGUGAAGUUUCCGAAGAUAAUCACAAAGAUCGGGAAAAACGGAAUAUCUCCAUUUUUAAGCUAUGAUGGCUUAAGGGCAGAAGGGGAAAAACGUAAACCAACCUAGGAGCAAGUAUAUAAGGAGUCCUAGGCGAGAGGCACCAGGGAGAACUUUUUAGACUCAGAAUUCUCUGCACUUAGAAACUUUAGGCUUUAUUCUCGAUAAGUUCGGUUUCUAUGACUGGC
RNAcentral lists this long non-coding RNA (294 nucleotides) under Brassica napus (rape). RNAcentral's name for it is "long non-coding RNA (BNAP_LNC019564)". Lineage: Eukaryota; Viridiplantae; Streptophyta; Magnoliopsida; Brassicales; Brassicaceae. The record is from RNAcentral.